Ctenopharyngodon idella (grass carp) is the source of this 1268-nucleotide long non-coding RNA. RefSeq lists it as uncharacterized. The record is from RefSeq and is a predicted model, not a curated record. The transcript is spliced from 3 exons. NCBI's taxonomy places the organism in Eukaryota, Metazoa, Chordata, Actinopteri, Cypriniformes, Xenocyprididae.
ACUUCUUUGCAUUGUCACACAUGCUUCAGUGCUCUGAGAGUGUUUAUAGUGCUGUGAGUUUAACACUUCAUGACUGAGAGCAGAACAGAACACAAUCUUCAUCAUCACACAAGACAAAAGAACAACAAUGAACACAAUCACCUUCUUCAUCUGGACUCUCACACUGAUCGCUCAAGAGUGUAGAGGACAGUACACUGUAACUCAGAGUCCAUCAAUAACAGCAGUUCAACCAGGACAAGAAGUCAGAAUAAACUGUAAAACCAGCAGUGCAGUGUAUAGUAGUAAUCGUUUAGCCUGGUACUUACAGAAACCUGGAGAAGCUCCUAAACUCCUCAUAUAUUAUGCAACAAGCCGUCAUACAGGAACUCCAUCUAGAUUCAGUGGCAGUGGAUCUGGCAGUGAUUUCACUCUGACCAUCAGUGGAGUCCAGACUGAAGAUACAGGAGAUUAUUACUGUCAGAGUGCACACUGUCCUAGUAGCUGUGUGUUCACACAGUGAUAAAGAGUGUUACAAAAACCUUGGUCGGAAAUUCAGUCACUUUAAUUGCACUUCCAUGCUUCAUCACUAGAUGGCGUGUCUGUUACAUAACUGAGUUCUCUAUCUGUCAGUCACUUUGAGGUUGUGUCGAUGUGAUAACACUAGUGUAGUGUUUCUCAACCUUUUUUACUUGAUGGCCUCCUCCUUCAUACUGCAGUGCCCCCCUAAGAUGCCUGACGUUUCCUCUUAUACUGAACUUCCACAGCAAAGAGAGAAAAGUGUCGAGUGAUUGCAUCUGUGCCAACAGAACGAUUGAGACUCCCAUCUAAAGCCUGUCGGUUCACGUCGUCUCUGAUAACAAGAACUUAAUGCUGUUGGACAGGCUGUCUCUGCUGUACAUGCCACGGACAUGAACGAGGAUAGUCCCGACCCAGCACACAUGCAGGAACUAUGCUUGUCUAACGAUUUAUUAAUAAUUAAUAAUCAUCAAUAAUUAAUAAUCAUAAACUGUGAGGUAAGAUUAGUUUACACACAUCAGAAGGUCUACUCUCUCAUCUCUGCAUAGAAAGACACACGUGCAAAUGAGAUGCUAAAAUUCAAUGGUUAAAAGCAGCACUUUAAAGGAAAAUUCACUAAUCACUGAUGCACAUUAUGACAGAAACCCUUAACAAUGUUCUAACAUCAUAAAUACAGCGAUUAUGAUAUAAAGAUACAGUAAAGCAAAUACAGGAUAAAUGUGAAACAGCAAAACGACCUCUGCUUCCCCGUCGACAUACAGCAUGACUUAAAC